This is a long non-coding RNA of Pavo cristatus (Indian peafowl), 3468 nucleotides long. Lineage: Eukaryota; Metazoa; Chordata; Aves; Galliformes; Phasianidae. The record is from Ensembl.
AUGCACAGUCUAACAGCCUUUAUACCUUGCAACAAGAUUGAAGGACUACUGAUUUCUCAACCAGCCAAUGUUUUGUCUUGCAGCUUUCUGUCUUUCUUUAGAAUUGUGUGUGCAUUUGCAUAUGAACAGGAACAGAAACUGAAAGGAAUGAUCCUGCGAGGUGGUGAGAGCCAUGCCUGUCUGUUCAAUGCCAGUGAGCAAGAGGGUUCUCAGGUGUCUAGGUUAAUACCAUGAUCCCAUAUAGCACAUUCUCCAUAUGCUUGUCUACCCUAAAGAGUUGUUAGAGAACCAUCAACUGCAUAAAUAAAAGCCUUGACAAUUAUCCAUGAUUCCCAUCUUUAACUGUCGAAAGCUUUGGAUGCUCAUUCAUUUCUGCAGCUGGCAGAAUAGAACAGAAUAUUUUUAUUCAACUUUUUGAGCAAACCAAGAAGGCAGCGAACUGAAGGAUUUUGUUUGCUGUUUUGAUUUGGCUGAAAUGUCUUGUUCACGUUUUGCAGUUGCUGGUAACUUUGGUAAAAGGAAGCAAGAUUCAGUGUUUUGGCUCUGUGCAGUCCGUAGGUGUGGAUCGUGCUGUUCUUAGCCAAUAUGUGCAACCAUGUAAACACACUCACCUCACACAAGGAUACCUCAGCUAUCCACUUGAAGCCAGUCUUCCUCUCCCCUACAUGUAACAUUUGUAAAAGAGAAAUGUUAUCAAAUUCAGCCUAGAUUCUAUAAUAACUACCUGGAAUUAUCUUAAGAUAUUGCAAAAUGCUGAAAAAUUUAAUCACAGUAGCAACAAGCCUCAUUUGACGGUAGUUUAAGUAACCAGAUUUUUAAUAUUAAUCUCUGAGCGUUUGUUUUUAAGGAAGAAUUGAAGAGGAAUGCAAUAUUUUAAAGUCUAAUGUAUUAACUUGGCAAUUUUUCCAGCCUUUCAGGAUUGAGCGUGUAGGCUGAUUUUACUCUCCAUUGCUGGUAACAUAUCCUCUCUUAACAGGAGCAGUGACAACAUCUCAAGAACUUUAUACUUUCGUGGGAUUAAUAGACAUUGCUUUUCUAACUCUCUACAAUGGCUGGCAUUUAUGUGGGCUGUCUACAGGAGUUAUGUAUUUUCCUUUUGGGAGACUUCUUCAAUAGAAACAACCAUGUGGUUGACACAACAAAUUUAGCACAGAGCAAAUUGUGACCUGCAGAGCCCAGCAGGGAAGCUGAACCUGGGCUGCAGGGGGUACCCAGAGCUUCCAGGGACUGGCUGGUUUUCUCUACUGCUGCGAUAGAGAAAUUGUCUUUCAGAGAACAGGAAUUUAGUUGCAGUGCUAUGCAACAAGACCUAUGUAUCCUGCUCCUUCCUUACCACAGGAGAGUUCCAGCUGACUGGUUAAUUUAGGUGCCAAAAUCCUGGGUGAAAUUCUCUGGUUUCGUUUCAAGUAUGUCAGGAUUCCCACUAAUGCAAUGCAAAAUUUAAACACACAAAAUUGUACGUACAAAUAAUGAAUGUGGAUUUGAAGUUUCUGCUCUAAGUGUUGAGCAAUGCCUUUUUUUGUAGUGCAGAUGUUAGCCUGUGUUUUGCUCCUGUUUCUCCCCAGUCCACAUAAACAGCUUGGAUCCUUUCUGUUCUUGUGCAAGUGAAGCUUUAAAAUAGAGCCUAGUAUUGUUUAGCUUUUUUUUUUUCCUGCUUAGGGACUGAAGGAAUAAAUUCACUCUAUAAAUCUUGCAUUUGCGCUUACUGUAUUUUAAAUUGGAGAAUGCAUAUUUUUAGUAAAAUAUGACUGUGACAUAACUUGCUUUUUGAUCCCUUAUUUUCUGUAAGAAUUACUGCUGUUAGUCAGCUUAGGCCAAGAGUACUGAGUCCACUGUUUCUUCUGAAAACAAUACUGCAAGUGGGCUACUCGUACAGGAUGGUCCCNUUUUUUUUUUUUUUUUUGCCAUCUUCACAACCACAGGAGACACAGUCCACUAGCUCUGCUCUUGAAAUCUUGCUGCACUUCUCUGCACCUAGACCAUAGCUUUCUCUCAUGUAAACAUAGACGUGAGACAGCUGUGUAGCACACACAAGCUAGCUUUCCCUAGAAAGGCUGGAGUAAAUGAAAUUCAGGAAUCAACAAUUGAAGAAGAAUUGAAAUACGGAAAGAACGUUGGGCAGGAAAGAACUGGCCACUGCACCCUGGAUGAGCUCAAACAGCUGCCCGAAAAGACCAGGUAAACUUUUGACUCACAUUUUUCUAACCCAACCUGGGAUAUCACAGCAGUAUUAAGAGACUGCUUUGUGUAUGAGAACAAAACACAAAUGAAGGGUACCUGUGUUAGUUACAGAAAACACUGCUUGACAGAUCCCAUCUGUACUGAGGAGGAGAAAUAUAAAUGCUUCUAAGAAGUUAACUCUAUCUUGGUUUUGGUGCCAGCAGUUUAUGAGUAAGGUAGUGGUAGCUGUCACCCACACCAUCUCCUUUUAUAAGGGAAACCAGGAGCUAAGAACCUCCUCCAGGCCAUAGCCCUUGUGUUAAUCCCGUGCUGCAAUUGAACUGCACCUGGCUCAGCUUCAGGAUUUGUCAUCCUCUUCCAUCGUUGUUUUUUUUUUUUUAGAUAGUUCUUUUGGGCCUCUUUAAGACAUUUGUUCGCAUUCUUUGCUCAGCAGAGCCUCAGAAGAAACCUGUUAAAAUCCAGCUAUCCUGAGCUUGAUCAGACUCCUGCACAGGUGUGAGAUGAGAUCCCUUGCUUUGAGGUAACUAUUCUAAUGGCAUGUAACUGGUGAUGGGGGCAUUCCUUGCAUUAUCCCCUCAUGCUUGCAGCUACUGUUAGCUCCCAGAUUUAUCACAUUUCAAUGCAAAUGGCUAUAAUUCUGCUCUAAAGAUUAAAGAAAUUAGUCCUGUAUUUUUGUGUAGUAUAGUGCUCUGUCAAAGUUGACCACAAAAAUGAUAUACCUUGCCUUGCCUCCUUUACAUAUUCUUAUGCUGCUAAAAGGCGUAGUUGAGUUGCCACUCCAUAUGUACUCCUUUUGUUUCUAAGUUCUUGCAACAGAAACAUCUGUUCAGAGUCACUGGAAAACCAGUGACCAUUACCAUAGGCCAAUUUAUCUGUAGAAUUUUAUACUGGUGAUAAAUGCUGAAGAGGAGGACCUGAAUGAUUUUUUAGGUGAUAGGAUAAAAGUGCAGGUGAGAGGGUUGCUGUUUUUCCUUCAGUGAGUACACUGGACAUAUGAACGGAGUGCCUCUGUUAGUUUAGAAUUUUGCAAAGUAAAGUGACUCUAAUAUACAAGCUCUAAACGCAAGUCUACGUAUCUUAACAAUAGCAUCAGUAGUAAUAUUUUCCUUCUGUUCAGAGUAGGCACUUAACAGGUUACUUUUUGCUCAGAUUCUUUUCUUCUUCCCCAGAUGUACAGCUAUAAGAAUGGCAGAUUUUACUACUCCCUCUGAUAGGUAAAGAUAAAAGCAUCUUUUCAUGAGCUAUGCAAGAGCAUUUUUCAAUCCAGAAUCAGCCUCUGCCNGCCGC